This 2080-nucleotide ribosomal RNA is filed under the name Triticum aestivum (bread wheat). RNAcentral describes it as "partial small subunit ribosomal RNA". The record is from RNAcentral. Lineage: Eukaryota; Viridiplantae; Streptophyta; Magnoliopsida; Poales; Poaceae.
CUCGUAAACAUAACCACACGUAUACUGUGUUAAUGUGCCGUUCCGUUGUCUGAAAUCGUAAUCAUCACCACACCUAUGAUGUGUUAGUGUUUUACAUCAUGUGUUCACAUACAAAUGACUACCUUACGGUUUGUAUACGUAGAGGUAGUCCGUAAACACGAUCAUUUCUCUCUCUUUCCCUUUGACUUAAUCAAAUGGGUUGUAAAUUUGUAUCUUUUAUUCUUCCUUUUGACUCCGUGUCCAUUUUUUUCUCUCCUUUUUGGCUCUGUGGUCAGUGGUGGAGUAACUACUCCAAUUAAUAUAAACUCUGUGGUGAUACAGGUAGUGUGGAGGUCUUAGACGCUCUCCUGGGAGCACGUCUUCGUUCCCCUAGUUCGAGUAGCCUCUUUUAAUGAGUACCCGCACGACUAGAUUGGACUUUAACUGUCACUUUUGACUUUUCGACUCAUUAUACACGUAUAAACUACCGUUAAUGUACCGAACACCUCUACCUAUAUGGAAGAGUUUCUACAGGGACUAUAAGAAGAGACUAAGAGGUUGUAUGUACAAAUAGUCAAGACCUGGAAAAUGCGAUUCUUUCAAAUUACUCGUGAGCCAACGAUGCCGAAAGCGUACAUUACAGGUUUUUAAGUUUCGUUUUGUAGGGUCACUCGUACAUAAUACAACAACAACCUAUGUUGAUUGAAAACUUUUUUUAUCCUUACUUUAGAGUUAAGUCUGUUUCAUAUUUUGUUCUUCUUCAUUACAGAUAUCUUGGAGCCUUGGAAAAGUGUUUAAUCCGCGGUCUUGAUUGAGGAUGCACAUCGAUACUAGGUCUCGUGGUCUAGUUAGUUAGAAACUUAUACUGUCACAGACGCUACCGGUACUCGCCCGGUUCCGUCAGUCCGCGUUUGUACACGAGUAUCCACGUCGAGUCGCUACUCGGCAUCGCUGUGGAGACUGCGCCGUAUGUACACGCCUGGCAACAGCGCGCACUCGUACAUGGCGCACGUCGGCCGUCCAAGUCGGUAUAACUCGUAGCAGCCAUUUAUAAUGAGGACGUCCAUCGAUUAUAGCUUAUAUUCUUAGACUUAGGUUCUUUCCGUGUGGUUACAUCGAGAAAGUGGUACCCGUGAUUAUUCUUCGAUAACAAUCACAGAGGUUCUUUGUUUUUAUUAAGUGGUAUCAUGUCUUAAGAGUUUAGGUUACUACGUACUUCGAGCGACGGAUCAUUACGAGUAAAAGUGACUUCAAACUACGAUGGGACUUAUAUAGAUGUUGCCACUCGUGACGUGAAACAAACGGCCAGGACGACGUUAGUUUAAACAGUUGUAGGUAAUGGGUCAGGCUAGGUAUUUCUGAGAUUGAAAGAGUUCCCCUAAUGUUAAAUACCCGGUUUAUCAAAGUCUAAAUCCUUCUUUGAGUAUCAUGCACAACGGCAGUUCGGCCAACUGAAUUUCAAGGACGUGGUUCUUUGUUAAUAGUUAAGUGCUAAAUUGAUUAGGUCUGGUUUUGUCUAGUUUACUCGAGCGGAUUAAUACUAUGUGUUAGGAUUAGGGGAGACGUUCAUCCGUCGUUGAAAGAGACGGAUGUUGGCGGGCGAAGGAUACGGUUAUCUUGCGCGUGCAGUUCGGUGGGUGCAGUGUACGUGCAGGUCGGCCGACCUCAUAUCAUGCCUAUUGUGUAUACGCUCCCCCGACUUCUAGGUGGGCACCGUCUCGUUCUACUUCCACUUUAGCUAGGGUCUCCUCCUUCUCGAUCGAAAGCAGCCGUUGGUUCUACUGAUACUACGUCUCCUACAGUUCAGCCCGUCGUACCUCGACCUCUGUACCACCUCCGCCGGCUACCGUCUCUCGUUUCUGGACAUGCGCCGGCUGCCCGCUAUCAUCUCAACCUACGUCGGCGACUGUACUACGGCGGCAUGUCCCUACCGGCUUGCGGUUCCCUGCGGAACGACCGGCGGUACCACCCGUUCCGCCACCGCCUCUCACAGCUCGACCACCUAGGCUUCCCUCCUGCCUAGACCGUCGGCGGCCCACGAUGGCUGACCUACGUAGCCUCUCUCUCCUCCCCUAGCUCUAAAAAAAAUGCGUCACACCCG